This 468-nucleotide ribosomal RNA is filed under the name uncultured bacterium. RNAcentral describes it as "partial 16S ribosomal RNA". It matches the Rfam family "Bacterial small subunit ribosomal RNA", at positions 28 to 507 of the family's 1533-position model. The record is from RNAcentral.
GACGAACGCUGGCGGCGUGCUUAACACAUGCAAGUCGAACGGAAAGGCCCUGCUUUUGUGGGGUGCUCGAGUGGCGAACGGGUGAGUAACACGUGAGUAACCUGCCCUUGACUUUGGGAUAACUUCAGGAAACUGGGGCUAAUACCGGAUAGGAGCUCCUGCUGCAUGGUGGGGGUUGGAAAGUUUCGGCGGUUGGGGAUGGACUCGCGGCUUAUCAGCUUGUUGGUGGGGUAGUGGCUUACCAAGGCUUUGACGGGUAGCCUGCCUGAGAGGGUUACCGGCCACAUGGGGACUGAGAGACGGACCAGACGCCUACGGGAGGCAGCAGGGGGGAAUAUUGCAGAAUGGGCGGACGCCUGAUGCGGCAACGCCGCGUGCGGGAAGACGGCCUUCGGGUUGUAAACCGCUUUCGCCUGAGACGAAGAGUGAGUGACGGUAAUGGGUAAAGAAGCACCGGCUAACUACGUG